GACGAGUGGCGGACGGGUGAGUAAUGUCUGGGAAACUGCCUGAUGGAGGGGGAUAACUACUGGAAACGGUAGCUAAUACCGCAUAACGUCGCAAGACCAAAGAGGGGGACCUUCGGGCCUCUUGCCAUCGGAUGUGCCCAGAUGGGAUUAGCUAGUAGGUGGGGUAACGGCUCACCUAGGCGACGAUCCCUAGCUGGUCUGAGAGGAUGACCAGCCACACUGGAACUGAGACACGGUCCAGACUCCUACGGGAGGCAGCAGUGGGGAAUAUUGCACAAUGGGCGCAAGCCUGAUGCAGCCAUGCCGCGUGUAUGAAGAAGGCCUUCGGGUUGUAAAGUACUUUCAGCGGGGAGGAAGGGAGUAAAGUUAAUACCUUUGCUCAUUGACGUUACCCGCAGAAGAAGCACCGGCUAACUCCGUGCCAGCAGCCGCGGUAAUACGGAGGGUGCAAGCGUUAAUCGGAAUUACUGGGCGUAAAGCGCACGCAGGCGGUUUGUUAAGUCAGAUGUGAAAUCCCCGGGCUCAACCUGGGAACUGCAUCUGAUACUGGCAAGCUUGAGUCUCGUAGAGGGGGGUAGAAUUCCAGGUGUAGCGGUGAAAUGCGUAGAGAUCUGGAGGAAUACCGGUGGCGAANGCGGCCCCCUGGACGAAGACUGACGC
RNAcentral lists this ribosomal RNA (660 nucleotides) under Escherichia coli. RNAcentral's name for it is "bacterial SSU rRNA". It matches the Rfam family "Bacterial small subunit ribosomal RNA", at positions 90 to 746 of the family's 1533-position model. The record is from RNAcentral. Lineage: Bacteria; Pseudomonadati; Pseudomonadota; Gammaproteobacteria; Enterobacterales; Enterobacteriaceae.